UUUUGUUUUAUUUUUGUUACCAGGCAAUCAGUAUCAAGCCUUUUGGAAUGAUAUAUGCCAGCUGGGUUUUGUGCCUCAUCACACUGGCAGAGAGAAGAGUAUGAAGCCUGCUUGGAGAAGCGGAGGAAGCUGAAAAGGAGGCAAAGAGUGAGGACAGAGAGACAAGAUGGAAGUGGGGAAGGAAAACAAGGAUGAGAGAAUGCCAGGUGGUGCUGAGAAGGAAAGGAGAGACUUUUCUGCUUGUAGAGGGCACACGAUGGCAGAAUCCACUUCUGCAGGGGCAUCUGGCUCCAGAAAUAAUAGGCCGCGUGGCACCCACUCCUUCAAAACGGGUUCAGGAGCAAAGCAAAGCAGAAUGAUUCUUCGAUAUGAAAUAAAUAUCUUCAGCUGGCCUAAGCUGAAGGCAGGAACUUUAAUCAGCACAAGGUCAGAUAAGCCAGAGACAGGUGUGCUGGGGCAGAGAAAAGAUUGCAAAUGACUGAUCUAUGUCACAAGAACAAUUCACUAGACAGCCCUAGUUGCCUAAGGCAAGGAGUGGUAACAGUUGUGGGAAACACCUUGCCUAUUUCAGAAGAAUGAAGGUAAAGAUUUUCAUUCCACAGUUUAUAAUGCUUUUUUUCUGGAAAAUGACAUGUUAUUCCUGUGUGUUUGUCAUGUAGAUGACUCUAGUAUUUGGCCAGAGAUCCAGGGUUGAAAAUCCUUGAGUUCUGUGCAGCUGCUGCCACUUCCUGUGAUGAUUCCUAGAGAAAUAUAGAGAUACAAGUAAUGCAGAGCAUGUUCUAUAGUUCUUUUUUUUUCUUUUUAUUUUAUUUUAUUUUAUUUUUUUUUAUUGCAUUUUAGGUUUUGGGGUACAUGUGAAAAACAUGCAAGUUGUUGCAUAGGUACACACGUGGCAGUGUGAUUUGCUGCCUUCCU
RNAcentral lists this long non-coding RNA (915 nucleotides) under Aotus nancymaae (Ma's night monkey). RNAcentral describes it as "lncRNA (ENSANAG00000038658.1)". The record is from RNAcentral. Lineage: Eukaryota; Metazoa; Chordata; Mammalia; Primates; Aotidae.